GUUAGCUCAGUUGGUAGAGCGCUCCACCUGUAAUGGAGAGGUCCCGGGUUCGAUACCCGGACCUCUCCA
This 69-nucleotide transfer RNA is filed under the name Rickettsia endosymbiont of Ixodes persulcatus. RNAcentral's name for it is "tRNA-Thr". It matches the Rfam family "tRNA". Rfam says of the family: Transfer RNA (tRNA) molecules are approximately 80 nucleotides in length. Lineage: Bacteria; Pseudomonadati; Pseudomonadota; Alphaproteobacteria; Rickettsiales; Rickettsiaceae. The record is from RNAcentral.